CUUGUUUUGCAGGGUCCAUGGUGCACCAUUGUCAGCAUCGGCCCCUUGCUUUGCUUAUGUUGAGCCGCCUGUAACUGACAUAUGUUCUUAUAUGUCUUUCCAUCAGAACCGCAGAGAGCCUCCUGCUUGCCGCACACACAGACAGCUCUGGGUUGACCUGCAAGGUUUCUGCGUGGAGCUCUGCAGCGCAGACCUUCAGCACAGCGGCCAUAGAACGCCAACCCCGACCGGGGCUCCGGGUCACACAGCUGCCCCUCAUCGUUCCCACAUUCCCAGCAACACCCGCACUGAUCACGAACCAAUCCGGCUGGACAGCCCUGCAGCUGCCUGACAUCCGGACAACGUUCGGGGUGGCACUUUUUAGGGCAUCUCUCGCCAGUCUGAAUGCUCUUCUGCCAGUCAAAACGACUGAGGGGCUCCAAAUGGAAGGACUCGGAUUCGGAAACCAGCAUCAGUGCUAGUGGUGGAAGCAGUUGACUUGGAUUUUAUGAAUCACCAAGUGCCACAAAUUCAGCUGAAACAACUUCUUUAAUGAAGCUUCACUACAUUAGUUUGGAAGAUGACAGUCUGAGAGCAUCUGACAGGACUAGAAUCUAUGUAGCACACAAGGUAAGUGAAAUAUUUGAUUUGUUUUACAAGAAGAUAUAUGUUUUGAUAUAAUAUAUAUUACAAAAUCCAUUUGCAGGGAUUUGUUUAAGUUGUAAAACUGUAAAAUGACAAAUGUUUCAACAUUUCAUUCUAUUUUAACAAAAGGUGGAUUGUUUCUUUAAGGGUUUUUCAAAUGUUUAGCCUUUGACUAGCAUAUAAAUGCUAAAUGUCAGCUACAAAACUAACUGACAUACAUUUUCAUUUAUUUAUUU
RNAcentral lists this long non-coding RNA (860 nucleotides) under Danio rerio (zebrafish). Its description in RNAcentral is "si:ch73-305j1.4 (ENSDARG00000099407.2)". The record is from RNAcentral. Lineage: Eukaryota; Metazoa; Chordata; Actinopteri; Cypriniformes; Danionidae.